This is a non-coding RNA of Pelobates cultripes (western spadefoot toad), 84 nucleotides long. Lineage: Eukaryota; Metazoa; Chordata; Amphibia; Anura; Pelobatidae. The record is from the annotation of a GenBank genome assembly.
CCUGUUUGACCUUCGAAUCCAAGAGUGGGUUGGGCCUGUUAAACAAUGUAGGCGACCCAUACUUGGUUUCAAGGGUUAGCAGGA